GGGAGUGUGGGUGAGUAGCAAAGCCACCUGCCUGUAAAGCAGUCGCCGCAAGGCUUCGCUGGUGCAAGUCCAGCCGCUCCCACCA
RNAcentral lists this transfer RNA (85 nucleotides) under Candidatus Melainabacteria bacterium. RNAcentral's name for it is "tRNA-Tyr". It matches the Rfam family "tRNA". Rfam says of the family: Transfer RNA (tRNA) molecules are approximately 80 nucleotides in length. Their secondary structure includes four short double-helical elements and three loops (D, anti-codon, and T loops). Further hydrogen bonds mediate the characteristic L-shaped molecular structure. tRNAs have two regions of fundamental functional importance: the anti-codon, which is responsible for specific mRNA codon recognition, and the 3' end, to which the tRNAs corresponding amino acid is attached (by aminoacyl-tRNA synthetases). tRNAs cope with the degeneracy of the genetic code in two manners: having more than one tRNA (with a specific anti-codon) for a particular amino acid; and 'wobble' base-pairing, i.e. permitting non-standard base-pairing at the 3rd anti-codon position. RNAcentral also lists the same sequence under 3 other names. Lineage: Bacteria; Bacillati; Candidatus Melainabacteria. The record is from RNAcentral.